Molecule: ribosomal RNA, 1339 nt
Filed under: Chryseobacterium hagamense
Lineage: Bacteria; Pseudomonadati; Bacteroidota; Flavobacteriia; Flavobacteriales; Weeksellaceae
Description: bacterial SSU rRNA
Rfam family: Bacterial small subunit ribosomal RNA
Source: RNAcentral
UUGUCUUUCGGGACAGAGAGAGCGGCGUACGGGUGCGGAACACGUGUGCAACCUGCCUUUAUCAGGGGGAUAGCCUUUCGAAAGGAAGAUUAAUACCCCAUAAUAUAUUGAUUGGCAUCAAUUAAUAUUGAAAACUCCGGUGGAUAGAGAUGGGCACGCGCAAGAUUAGAUAGUUGGUAGGGUAACGGCCUACCAAGUCAGUGAUCUUUAGGGGGCCUGAGAGGGUGAUCCCCCACACUGGUACUGAGACACGGACCAGACUCCUACGGGAGGCAGCAGUGAGGAAUAUUGGACAAUGGGUUAGCGCCUGAUCCAGCCAUCCCGCGUGAAGGACGACGGCCCUAUGGGUUGUAAACUUCUUUUGUAUAGGGAUAAACCUACUCUCGUGAGAGUAGCUGAAGGUACUAUACGAAUAAGCACCGGCUAACUCCGUGCCAGCAGCCGCGGUAAUACGGAGGGUGCAAGCGUUAUCCGGAUUUAUUGGGUUUAAAGGGUCCGUAGGCGGAUCUGUAAGUCAGUGGUGAAAUCUCACAGCUUAACUGUGAAACUGCCAUUGAUACUGCAGGUCUUGAGUGAGGUAGAAGUAGCUGGAAUAAGUAGUGUAGCGGUGAAAUGCAUAGAUAUUACUUAGAACACCAAUUGCGAAGGCAGGUUACUAUGUCUUAACUGACGCUGAUGGACGAAAGCGUGGGGAGCGAACAGGAUUAGAUACCCUGGUAGUCCACGCCGUAAACGAUGCUAACUCGUUUUUGGGUUUUCGGAUUCAGAGACUAAGCGAAAGUGAUAAGUUAGCCACCUGGGGGAGUACGAACGCAAGUUUGAAACUCAAAGGAAUUGACGGGGGNCCCGCACAAGCGGUGGAUUAUGUGGUUUAAUUCGAUGAUACGCGAGGAACCUUACCAAGGCUUAAAUGGGAAUUGAUCGGUUUAGAAAUAGACCUUCCUUCGGGCAAUUUUCAAGGUGCUGCAUGGUUGUCGUCAGCUCGUGCCGUGAGGUGUUAGGUUAAGUCCUGCAACGAGCGCAACCCCUGUCACUAGUUGCCAUCAUUAAGUUGGGGACUCUAGUGAGACUGCCUACGCAAGUAGAGAGGAAGGUGGGGAUGACGUCAAAUCAUCACGGCCCUUACGCCUUGGGCCACACACGUAAUACAAUGGCCGGUACAGAGGGCAGCUACCUAGCGAUAGGAUGCAAAUCUCGAAAGCCGGUCUCAGUUCGGAUUGGAGUCUGCAACUCGACUCUAUGAAGCUGGAAUCGCUAGUAAUCGCGCAUCAGCCAUGGCGCGGUGAAUACGUUCCCGGGCCUUGUACACACCGCCCGUCAAGCCAUGGAAGUCUGGGGU